CAGCCGUAAACUAUGCGCGUUAGGUGUGUCGGUAACCACGCGUUACUGAUGCGCCGAAGAGAAAUCGUGAAACGCACCACCUGGGAAGUACGGUCGCAAGGCUGAAACUUAAAGGAAUUGGCGGGGGAGCACCACAACAGGUGGAGCCUGCGGUUUAAUUGGAUUCAACGCCGGACAUCUCACCGGAUAAGACAGCUGAAUGAUUGUCAAUCUGAAGGUUUUACAUGACUAGCUGAGAGGUGGUGCAUGGC
RNAcentral lists this ribosomal RNA (251 nucleotides) under uncultured archaeon. RNAcentral describes it as "partial 16S ribosomal RNA". It matches the Rfam family "Archaeal small subunit ribosomal RNA", at positions 748 to 998 of the family's 1478-position model. The record is from RNAcentral.